AGUGAACGCUGGCGGUAGGCCUAACACAUGCAAGUCGAACGGCAGCACAGGAGAGCUUGCUCUCUGGGUGGCGAGUGGCGGACGGGUGAGGAAUACAUCGGAAUCUACUUUUUCGUGGGGGAUAACGUAGGGAAACUUACGCUAAUACCGCAUACGACCUACGGGUGAAAGCAGGGGAUCUUCGGACCUUGCGCGAUUGAAUGAGCCGAUGUCGGAUUAGCUAGUUGGCGGGGUAAAGGCCCACCAAGGCGACGAUCCGUAGCUGGUCUGAGAGGAUGAUCAGCCACACUGGAACUGAGACACGGUCCAGACUCCUACGGGAGGCAGCAGUGGGGAAUAUUGGACAAUGGGCGCAAGCCUGAUCCAGCCAUACCGCGUGGGUGAAGAAGGCCUUCGGGUUGUAAAGCCCUUUUGUUGGGAAAGAAAUCCAGCUGGUUAAUACCUGGUUGGGAUGACGGUACCCAAAGAAUAGGCACCGGCUAACUUCGUGCCAGCAGCCGCCGUAA
RNAcentral lists this ribosomal RNA (506 nucleotides) under uncultured bacterium. Its description in RNAcentral is "partial 16S ribosomal RNA". It matches the Rfam family "Bacterial small subunit ribosomal RNA", at positions 29 to 523 of the family's 1533-position model. The record is from RNAcentral.